GGGAAUAUGGCUUAGUGGUAGAGUACUUGCCUCACAUGCAUGAAGCCCUGGGUUUAAUUCCUAGGUAUCACA
This 72-nucleotide transfer RNA is filed under the name Dipodomys ordii (Ord's kangaroo rat). It matches the Rfam family "tRNA". From Rfam's summary of the family: Transfer RNA (tRNA) molecules are approximately 80 nucleotides in length. The record is from Rfam by way of RNAcentral. Lineage: Eukaryota; Metazoa; Chordata; Mammalia; Rodentia; Heteromyidae.